GCCCGGCUGGCUCCAAAGGUAGAGCAUGUGACUCUUGAUCUCAGGGUCGUGGGUUCAAGCACCACGUUGGGUC
Molecule: transfer RNA, 73 nt
Filed under: Canis lupus familiaris (dog)
Lineage: Eukaryota; Metazoa; Chordata; Mammalia; Carnivora; Canidae
Also listed under: 1 other name
Rfam family: tRNA
About the family: Transfer RNA (tRNA) molecules are approximately 80 nucleotides in length. Their secondary structure includes four short double-helical elements and three loops (D, anti-codon, and T loops).
Source: Rfam by way of RNAcentral